Long non-coding RNA from Dreissena polymorpha, 3047 nucleotides. RefSeq lists it as uncharacterized. The transcript has 3 exons. The record is from RefSeq and is a predicted model, not a curated record. Lineage: Eukaryota; Metazoa; Mollusca; Bivalvia; Myida; Dreissenidae.
AACAUAUACAAUGGUGCAUUAUAUAUAACGAACGGGAUUCUAUUAAGAUCAUUUCAAAACACGCAUUGUAAGUGUUAAAAUGGCGAACGAGAAUUCAAAUGAAAUGACAAUUGUUAGUGAUCCUAGUCGCGCCGUGAAUGAUGAAAACCAACUAGGAUCUGAAUCACUCGGAAAUGUUGUUCGAGAAAUUACAACGGAGGCAGGAAGCAGAGGGACAUCAGGCCAUGAAAGAAAACCAAAAAAAAAAAUUAAAAACAUGACGGUGAUAACUAAAUUCUGGGAAUUAAUACCGGGAGAUCAUAUUGCGGUCGAAUGCGAGUGGUCCAUAAAGGAAAAGCCUGUUACCACAUAUUUUCAUCACGGUAUAUACAUAAGCCAAGAGAAAGGUGUAGCACAUUUUUCCGGUCGUACCGUACAAAACGCCGAGCUGAAAUAUGAUGACUUGAUGGACUUUGCUAAUGGGUGGAAACACAACACAUUGUAUAAAAUCGAGUACAAAGAGAACAAAUGUUUACCGGCUGAUGAAGUUGUUAAACAGGCGAUUGCGUUAGUCGAAAGUCAGGAAUGGGAUAAGUUUGAUUUUACAGACAACAAUUGCGAGCAUUUUGCGAGUUACUGCAAAACAGGCAAGAAAUCGUGUAAUCAAAGUUAUUUCAAAUGUCUAUUAGCAAAUGGUUGCGUUUACUUAUAUGCAUGUUCUGUGGAAGCUAUGGGCUAUUCUCCAUGUUUCAAAAGAGAAACGAAAUAAACAAUACAUGUAUAUAUGUAUAUGCAAAAAUAUUGAAAACAACACAACCUGUUUAAGAUUAUAUGAAAAGCAAAAUGUACCUAAGAACUGGGAAGUCAAACUGACCUACAACAAUAUAUUGAAGUAUGUGAGGCUUCUUCAAAAUAAAUACAAUUGUUUGUGACUUUUUAGGACGUUAUUUAAUGACGAAAAUUGACGUUAUGGUGUUACAUCGAAACCUUUUGCAACGAAAACACUAUUAUUCUGAAUGCGCAUUUCGGAUUUGGAAAAGGCUUUUCAACUGAUGAUGCUAUUUUGUAUUGAUGUCUAAUAAUCAAAAUUAUUGAAAUUUAAAUAAACGUUUGUAUUAGGGAUGGGAACGAAUACUGAAAAUGAUAUUCGAAUAUUCAGUUGUUAUUAUUUGAAUACAUUCGAUUAUUAGAUUUUUAAACCUUAUAUUAAAAUGUCUUAACUUAUGACUGUCCAGAGCAACGUUCUAUUUCAUAUUGCCACUUAUACCACUAUAAAUCGUAUCAUGUGUGCAGCUUUUAAAAACUUGACAGAGUAAAACUUGUAGAAAAAAAGAUUAUUGAUUAUUGCAUUCUUCUUUUUAAAUAAAUACUGUUUAUUUUCAUAAGAUAUAAGAUGUUUCCGGAAAACACAUUACCGUUAUUCUAAUUUAUUUCAAUACUUCUAAUUGAUUCGGAUACUUUCCAUCGAUAGCAUUUAUGAUUUUGUUUUCACUUUUUGUUCUGCAAUUAAGAAGCACGACUCUUUAAUUGGUUGAUAUUUGAGUAACUAAAUUCUGACUAAAUAAACAUUGAUUUAAUAUUUAGAUAUAGCAUUCAAAACAAACAUGCCACACGUGCCGAUCUCGGUGGAACAGUCCCGCUUUUGGGGUAUUUGGCCCGGCUUCCUGAUAUGAGACAAUUUGUCCCGACAUUCGUUAAACACGACAUACAUUCUAUAAAUUAGCAAUACAUUUCGCUAUUCAAGGUCUUUCUUGCUAAAACUUCACUAAUUCCUUUAUUGCCCCUUAUUACUAUCUACUUCUACUACUCGAGUGCACCAGUGUAGUUUGUGACACCUUGUGACAUCAGCGAUUUAUCGGCGAAUUAUUGAUUUUGUCAGGCAUUCACACCAUGGUAUUUUGUAAUAUGGUCGCUAAUUGCUAUUGAAAGAUGUGUCGCAUUGAAAUAAAAGCCAACUGCCGCCCAAUUAUGUCUAACGAUUCUGCUUGUUAUACCACCUGAGGUUAAAAGACCUGUCAAAGCACAGAUUUGUAAGUCAAACAAAUUGAAGUUUCAUUCUUUAUUCUCAUUUAUAUACACACAUUACAUAUUUAUAACAGUGACACAUACUCACAUUAAAACAUUAUGUAUAUAACCGCUCAUGAUGUUGAGCUAUAAGAGAUAUCGCACAUGUUUGCAUAUCAUUAAAUAAAAUAUCAUUCUCUUAUCACUAUUCACAAUACUAAGAGGUAAAAAGUAAGUGCUACUCCUUCUUUAAAAAUAAAAUAAUCAAAGUUAAGACAAUGAUUGCUGUAAAUUGGAGCACUAGCGCGCUAGUAAAAUACAUUUUCAAGAAUCGAAUAUCAUUCCUGAUCAGAUCAGGAAUACAUUAGUUAGCACUGACUUUCUACAUUUACAUAAAAUUAAAUUUUAGAUUACACUAAAACAUAUAUGACAUUAUUUACAAAGUAAACAUUGUCGUCUUAUUAAAAUUGCAUGACAGGUUUUGGCACAUUGUCUAAUCAAGUCUUUAUUUGAGAACAGUAUAGUAAAUUGAUCUAUUUUUGAUAAGUUUGGAAACUCCGAAUUGCAUACAAUUGCCUUCGAAAGUAAACUAUCUCUUAAGUCAUUAUAUAUUUGACAUUCAAGUAUAACAUGAAGUUCAUUUUCUACAUUUUUACUUAAACAAAAAGGGCAUGUUCUAUUUUCUUCUAUAAGUCCUUCAUAACGCCCAGUUUCAAUACGAAUGUGUGCAACACCAAGUCUAAAUUUACUAAAUGCAGAACGAUGAGAUAAUGGUAAAGUAAGAGUACAAUACUCUUCUACAUUAUAACUAGACUUUAACAAUUUAUAAUUUUUUUAGUCUAAGUUUAUUGCGUCCUCGGCCAGAUGGACCUAUAUCAUUAUUAAUUCUUCGAAGCCAGCUAUUAAUGUAACAUUCAUGUGUAAUUUCUUCUAUAUUAACAGCAAAUGAUCUUGGUUGAAUGCUUAUCAAUACACAUUGAUGUUUCACAUAAAUUAAUUUUUAUAUUUGACUGAUUACCAGAAAAUAGUUUGUUCAUUUUGCAUCAAAAUAAAUAUAAAGUGAA